This 29-nucleotide non-coding RNA is filed under the name Homo sapiens (human). Lineage: Eukaryota; Metazoa; Chordata; Mammalia; Primates; Hominidae. The record is from RNAcentral.
CNGGCCUGCUGGGUAAAUGACUAGGUGGU